GGGAGAGCACACAGUGAGUUCCAAUACACACACUUACCCUUUCUUGCUCAGGACGUCCUAAGGAAUUUUAAGUCACUGAACGUUCAGGUCUCACAAACAUUUAUUUCAAGGGCACAGUCUACCGUUUGAGUCCCUCAUAAUCUGUUCAUUCAUCACUAAAGCAUUUUUGUUGCAUCCAAUUUUUCAACCUUAUACACGAUGCUACAACAACACUACUUGGUGUACCACUGUUUGCCUGUGUUUUCAAUCACAGUUGACCCUUGAACAAUGGGCGGCGGGGUGGGUGUUAGCGAGGAUCAUUUGAGCCUGGUAAAUACCUUUUAAAACUGUAUUAAAACACAUAUACAAGUACACGAU
This 357-nucleotide long non-coding RNA is filed under the name Bos taurus (domestic cattle). RNAcentral describes it as "long non-coding RNA NONBTAT015375". The record is from RNAcentral. Lineage: Eukaryota; Metazoa; Chordata; Mammalia; Artiodactyla; Bovidae.